This 520-nucleotide ribosomal RNA is filed under the name Saccharomyces cerevisiae (brewer's yeast). RNAcentral describes it as "partial large subunit ribosomal RNA". The record is from RNAcentral. Lineage: Eukaryota; Fungi; Ascomycota; Saccharomycetes; Saccharomycetales; Saccharomycetaceae.
UUGACUUACGUCGCAGUCCUCAGUCCCAGCUGGCAGUAUUCCCACAGGCUAUAAUACUUACCGAGGCAAGCUACAUUCCUAUGGAUUUAUCCUGCCACCAAAACUGAUGCUGGCCCAGUGAAAUGCGAGAUUCCCCUACCCACAAGGAGCAGAGGGCACAAAACACCAUGUCUGAUCAAAUGCCCUUCCCUUUCAACAAUUUCACGUACUUUUUCACUCUCUUUUCAAAGUUCUUUUCAUCUUUCCAUCACUGUACUUGUUCGCUAUCGGUCUCUCGCCAAUAUUUAGCUUUAGAUGGAAUUUACCACCCACUUAGAGCUGCAUUCCCAAACAACUCGACUCUUCGAAGGCACUUUACAAAGAACCGCACUCCUCGCCACACGGGAUUCUCACCCUCUAUGACGUCCUGUUCCAAGGAACAUAGACAAGGAACGGCCCCAAAGUUGCCCUCUCCAAAUUACAACUCGGGCACCGAAGGUACCAGAUUUCAAAUUUGAGCUUUUGCCGCUUCACUCGCCGU